GCAUUGCUGAAGAGUCCCAUGCUAGGACGAAACAGCUGUCCAAUGC
RNAcentral lists this non-coding RNA (46 nucleotides) under Schistosoma haematobium. Lineage: Eukaryota; Metazoa; Platyhelminthes; Trematoda; Strigeidida; Schistosomatidae. The record is from RNAcentral.